Molecule: ribosomal RNA, 467 nt
Filed under: uncultured bacterium
Lineage: Bacteria
Description: partial 16S ribosomal RNA
Rfam family: Bacterial small subunit ribosomal RNA (bases 51-467)
Source: RNAcentral
GGGGGGGGGUGGGGGCGGGGGGGGGGGAUGGGAGGGGAGCGGGAGGGCCUCUUUCGGGGGGUACUCGAGUGGCGGACGGGUGAGUAACACGUGAGUAACCUGCACUUGACUUUGGGAUAACUUCAGAAAAAUUGGGCUAAUACCGGAUCGGCGCUCCUGAUUCAUGGUGGUGGUUGGACAGUUUCGGCGGUUGGGGAUUGCCUCGCUGCUUAUGAGCGUGUUGGUGGGGUAGUUGGUUACCAAGGCUUUGACGGGUAGACCGCCUGAGAGGGGGACCGGCCACAUUGGUACUGAGAUACGGCCCAGACGCCUACGGGAGGCAGCGGGGGGGAAUAGUGCACAAUGGGUGGAAGCCUGAUGCAGCAACGCCGUGUGCGGGAUGACGGCCUUCGGGUUGUAAACCGCUUUCGCUCAUGACGAAGCUUUGUGUGACGGUAGUGGGUAAAGAAGCACCGGCUAACUACGUG